RNAcentral lists this unclassified non-coding RNA (219 nucleotides) under uncultured Solirubrobacteraceae bacterium. RNAcentral describes it as "contains 16S-23S intergenic spacer region". Lineage: Bacteria; Bacillati; Actinomycetota; Thermoleophilia; Solirubrobacterales; Solirubrobacteraceae. The record is from RNAcentral.
UCCGGUUUGUCACCGGCAGUCUCGUAUGAGUCCCCAACUAAAUGCUGGCAACAUACGACGGGGGUUGCGCUCGUUGCGGGACUUAACCCAACAUCUCACGACACGAGCUGACGACAGCCAUGCACCACCUGUGAUCCUGCCCCGAAGGGAAGCCCUGUUUCCAGGGCGGUCAGGAACAUGUCAAGCCCAGGUAAGGUGGGGAUGACGUCGACGUCAUAA